UCUCCGCAAGGUACAGCAUAUCCGGCUCGUCCCUAAGACUCGAGAGAAAUCCGAUCCCUCCAAGGCGUGGCAGUCCAGUUCAUCCCCGAGACCUCGAGAGAAGCUGGGGCGUCUCCAGAAGCAGCGUCAGGGCUCGGGUCCCAGAGGACCCAAAGCCGACGAGGCGUGGCCGUCCAGUCUCCCUCCAAAGGGGGAAGGUGGAGAUCUUCCCUGCGGCGAGGAAGAUCCGGGUCGUCGCCAGGAGAACCUGGUCCCGGUCCCAUCUCCAGACGAGGCAGAUCAGAAGCUCCCUGCGGAGAGACCGAUCCUUAUGUUCACUGGCAGGAGCCUCGCGAGAUCCACUCGCUGAUUCUCCCGCCGGGCAGGCGCUCGCCGUCCUCACCCGUACGCAGCGCAUUCCGGGACGCCGCCCGCGCCCGAGCCGAGCGGGUCCUCCCCGCACCGCGGCACCCGCCAGCCCCGCUCCCGCUCCCCACCGAAACUGGACGUCUCCCGCACCCCGGCCUCUUCCUACCAUGGCCGCUCGAAGGCGUCGCCGGCCAGGACCCGCUCAGGCUCCGGCUCGCCAAAACGAGCCGGGAGGAGGUCCCGCUCCCCACCGGUGCUGGAGAAAUACCCCAAAGUGGGAGCGGCCGACAAGGCAGCACCAGGCAGAGCUGAGAAGACGUCGCCCGUGGUGGCGGUGCCCAUCCGGCGCAGCCCGUCCCGCUCCCCGCCGGCUCCGGAUGAGUCCUCUCCCAAAGCCAGGAAAGCCCAUUCCCCUGGCCCCAAGAUCCACUCCCCGCGGCCGGAGGGGUCCCUGGGGGCGGUGAGGAACGGGGGUCCGGCGCCUGCCUGGACCCUGAACUCCUGCCCUGCUGCCCCUGGGGGCUCCCCGCCUGCCGGCCGCCUCCCCCAAGCCAAAGGGCCAGAGAAAGUCAGAUCUUCCUCCUCUUCCUCUUCCUCCUCCUCCUCCUCCGCCACGCAGAAGGUGCCCAGCCCCCUGCCCACCCCACUCCCGGUGCUGCCCCCCAAGGAGGAAGACAGGGAAGGGCCCAAGGUCAAGUCAGAGCCGCCAGCCCCGGAGGUGCCUGGGGAGCUGCCAGACAAAGCCAGGGGCGGAGCCGUCAAGGUGCUGGUGCCGCUGCCGGUGCCCCCCCGCACCCCGUCCAAAGAGAAGAGGAGCUCGUCCACCUCCUCAUCUUCGUCGUCCUCGUCCUCUUCCUCCUCCUCGUCCUCUUCCUCCGACUCCAGCUCCAGUUCCAGCUCCUCAGAGUCCAGCCACGACUCCCCGGCGAGCAAGGGACCCGACCUGGAGACGGCGAAGAAAGAGCCCCCGAGCCCGGCGCAGAAGGAACUGGCCCGUGAGGGGCGCCCCCUGGAGGUGGCCAAGCGGAAACGCCGUUCCCGAAGCUCCAGCAGCUCCAGCAGCAGCUCGUCGUCAUCAUCCUCCUCAUCUUCAUCCUCAUCUUCCUCCUCCUCCUCAUCGUCGUCCUCCUCAUCCUCUUCUUCCUCUUCCUCCUCCUCGUCCUCCUCCCCCAAGCCGGGGCCCCAGCCGCAGCCCAAGGCGGCCCCCAAGAAGCCCUCGCCUGAGCAGAGGCGCUCCCGGAGCCCCCGGAAGCCGAUCGACUCCCUGCGCGACUCACGCUCUCUCAGCUAUUCCCCGGCCGAGCGGCGCCGGCCUUCCCCUCCGGAGCCCCCCCUGGCCCAGCGGGACCGGCACAGGUAGGUGUCUGCCUGAGCCCCCCCCGGGACCAGCUCGUGGUGGGGUGGGGGGCUAGGAGGAAGGGUGGGGGGC
This 1777-nucleotide long non-coding RNA is filed under the name Chelonoidis abingdonii (Abingdon island giant tortoise). Its description in RNAcentral is "lncRNA (ENSCABG00000003159.1)". Lineage: Eukaryota; Metazoa; Chordata; Testudines; Testudinidae. The record is from RNAcentral.